AACCCAUGGUGAGGGCCCCUUCUCAAUAAAUCCUUAUACCUCUCCCAUGCAUCAUAAAGGGUUUAUAAAUCUAUUUGCACAAAGAAAGAGAUAUCAUUCCUCAACUU
Non-coding RNA from Gossypium arboreum, 107 nucleotides. The record is from Rfam. NCBI's taxonomy places the organism in Eukaryota, Viridiplantae, Streptophyta, Magnoliopsida, Malvales, Malvaceae.